AAUACUUAGGGAUCUACCUAUUAAUGGGGGACAACAUUUCGAAAGGAAUGCUAAUACCGCAUACGCCCUACGGGGGAAAGCAGGGGCUCUUCGGACCUUGCGUUAAUAGAUGAGCCUAAGUCGGAUUAGCUAGUUGGUGGGGUAAAGGCCUACCAAGGCGACGAUCUGUAGCGGGUCUGAGAGGAUGAUCCGCCACACUGGGACUGAGACACGGCCCAGACUCCUACGGGAGGCAGCAGUGGGGAAUAUUGGACAAUGGGGGGAACCCUGAUCCAGCCAUGCCGCGUGUGUGAAGAAGGCCUUUUGGUUGUAAAGCACUUUAAGCGAGGAGGAGGCUACUCUAGUUAAUACCUAGAGCUAGUGGACGUUACUCGCAGAAUAAGCACCGGCUAACUCUGUGCCAGCAGCCGCGGUAAUACAGAGGGUGCGAGCGUUAAUCGGAUUUACUGGGCGUAAAGCGUGCGUAGGUGGCCAAUUAAGUCAAAUGUGAAAUCCCCGAGCUUAACUUGGGAAUUGCAUUCGAUACUGGUUGGCUAGAGUAUGGGAGAGGAUGGUAGAAUUCCAGGUGUAGCGGUGAAAUGCGUAGAGAUCUGGAGG
RNAcentral lists this ribosomal RNA (597 nucleotides) under uncultured bacterium. Its description in RNAcentral is "bacterial SSU rRNA". It matches the Rfam family "Bacterial small subunit ribosomal RNA", at positions 112 to 704 of the family's 1533-position model. The record is from RNAcentral.